AUUGAACGCUGGCGGCAUGCCUUACACAUGCAAGUCGAACGGCAGCACGGGUGCUUGCCCCUGGUGGCGAGUGGCGAACGGGUGAGUAAUACAUCGGAACAUGUCCUGUAGUGGGGGAUAGCCCGGCGAAAGCCGGAUUAAUACCGCAUACGAUCCACGGAUGAAAGCGGGGGACCUUCUGGCCUCGCGCUAUAGGGUUGGCCGAUGGCGGAUUAGCUAGUUGGUGGGGUAAAGGCCUACCAAGGCGACGAUCAGUAGCUGGUCUGAGAGGACGACCAGCCACACUGGGACUGAGACACGGCCCAGACUCCUACGGGAGGCAGCAGUGGGGAAUUUUGGACAAUGGGCGAAAGCCUGAUCCAGCAAUGCCGCGUGUGUGAAGAAGGCCUUCGGGUUGUAAAGCACUUUUGUCCGGAAAGAAAUCCUUGACUCUAAUACAGUCGGGGGAUGACGGUACCGGAAGAAUAAGCACCGGCUAACUACGUG
RNAcentral lists this ribosomal RNA (486 nucleotides) under uncultured bacterium. RNAcentral's name for it is "partial 16S ribosomal RNA". It matches the Rfam family "Bacterial small subunit ribosomal RNA", at positions 30 to 507 of the family's 1533-position model. The record is from RNAcentral.